RNAcentral lists this ribosomal RNA (385 nucleotides) under uncultured Prorocentrum. Its description in RNAcentral is "partial small subunit ribosomal RNA". It matches the Rfam family "Eukaryotic small subunit ribosomal RNA", at positions 30 to 432 of the family's 1831-position model. Lineage: Eukaryota; Dinophyceae; Prorocentrales; Prorocentraceae. The record is from RNAcentral.
GCUUGUCUCAAAGAUUAAGCCAUGCAUGUCUAAGUAUAAAUGCUAUACAAUGAAACUGCGAAUGGCUCAUUAAAACAGUUAUAGUUUAUUUGGUAAUCGAAUUUACAUGGAUAACCGUGGUAAUUCUAGAGCUAAUACAUGCGUCAGAACCCAACUUUACGGAAGGGUCGUGUUUAUUAGAUACAAAACCAACAUCUCGUUGGUGAUUCAUAAUAACCAAGCGAAUCGUCGGUUUACCGACGAUAGAUCGUUCAAGUUUCUGACCUAUCAGCUUUGGUCGGUAGGGUAUUGGCCUACCGAGGCAAUGACGGGUAACGGAGAAUUAGGGUUCGAUUCCGGAGAGGGAGCCUGAGAAACGGCUACCACAUCUAAGGAAGGCAGCAGG